AACCCUUAAAAUGUUUCACUUGUUCCCCUUAUGAAUAGUGUUCACAUGUGUGGGGGACAUGUGUGUGUAUUUUUUUUAAAAAAAAAAAUUUGAAGAAAAUCACAUGUUCUUCUUCUAACCUUCUGCCCUUCUAUCUCUUUCUUUUCAUGAUUUAUGCAACCUUGCUUUUUACCUAGAAAUUAGCCACUUUGUUUUUUUUCAAUUUUCUUCUCUUCCCUGAUCGAUGAUGUUGACAAAUAAGACUUGCAUUGCCAACAAAUGAAUCUUCACCUUCUGAAUUCUAAUAAAGUAACUUAACAUCAUUUCCAAUUACCUCAAUGGUGUGAUUCAAAAAUUCAAGAGGAGAGCCACAUCUGAAGAAUCUGCAUACGAUUGCAUCAACUUAGCCAACAAUGGAAUCUGCAAUUCACUUCCCCUACUUUCUCCUCCUCUAUACGCCCCUUUUCUCUCUCUUCUUCCCUUUUCACUUUCUCUACAACCAUCAACAAUGAACCUGCCAUCCACGGUCACCACUCAGCACUAUCAAACUACGAGAGACCGAGGAACGGAAGGAUGAAUAGCCGCUGAACGAGGAGAUAGAAAACAGAUCUAGAACGAAGGUGAAGAUUUUUUGGAAAGGCAAGUUCUGGAAUCUCAGAGGCUAUAAGGUUCAUCUCCGUAUGUAUUAAUUGGUCAUCGAUCUAGCUUUUAUUCACGAUCAAUUUUCUAACUUGGUUUUAAGUUAGUCUCUGAUUGUGAUUGCCCGCAAAUAUUGAAGUUAUCAACUUCUAUUCUGAUCAUUGAUGCUAAUCAAGUUUUGCGGGGGAAGGUAGAUCAGUGGCGGCAGUGAGAAAUUGAAACCUUGAAAAUUAACAUAUACACGGUGUCAACUCUUGAAUCAUUUAUCUUGAAAGGGGGAAGAGUAGGAGAGAAGGAUGUUGUAAAUGUCGUGAAAUUAUUAAUGAAUGAAUUGAUCAAAUUCGAUGGAAUUAUCAUCGACGGUGAUGUGAAUUUACAAAGAAAGAUGCAGGAAAACUCUUAUGAUACAAAGAAAGUAUGUUCAGACUUUGGAUGUGCUAAAGGCAAAAAAACUCGGCACCGGCAGCAAAUGGAGCUCAUAGGAUGUGUGUGGAUAUGUUUUUUUUAUUUUUUAUUUUUUAUUUUUAUUUGAGGAAAAAGGUUAUUAGCUAAGUUGGCUUACUUGACUAUUUAUCCUAAACAAUAUUUAGGAGCAAAUUCAUGUUUGUAACAGUGCGAAUUGAUCAUUGUUGAGGGGUUUGAAUGUACUUUCAUCUAAAAAGUUAGGGGCAA
Long non-coding RNA from Chenopodium quinoa (quinoa), 1290 nucleotides. RefSeq lists it as uncharacterized. The record is from RefSeq and is a predicted model, not a curated record. The transcript is spliced from 5 exons. NCBI's taxonomy places the organism in Eukaryota, Viridiplantae, Streptophyta, Magnoliopsida, Caryophyllales, Amaranthaceae.